RNAcentral lists this ribosomal RNA (429 nucleotides) under Bacillota bacterium. RNAcentral describes it as "Firmicutes bacterium partial 16S ribosomal RNA". It matches the Rfam family "Bacterial small subunit ribosomal RNA", at positions 355 to 776 of the family's 1533-position model. The record is from RNAcentral. Lineage: Bacteria; Bacillati; Bacillota.
UAGGGAAUCUUCGGCAAUGGACGGAAGUCUGACCGAGCAACGCCGCGUGAUUGAAGAAGGUUUUCGGAUCGUAAAGCUCUGUUGUUAGAGAAGAACGUUGGUAGGAGUGGAAAAUCUACCAAGUGACGGUAACUAACCAGAAAGGGACGGCUAACUACGUGCCAGCAUCCGCGGUAAUACGUAGGUCCCGAGCGUUGUCCGGAUUUAUUGGGCGUAAAGCGAGCGCAGGCGGUUCUUUAAGUCUGAAGUUAAAGGCAGUGGCUUAACCAUUGUACGCUUUGGAAACUGGAGGACUUGAGUGCAGAAGGGGAGAGUGGAAUUCCAUGUGUAGCGGUGAAAUGCGUAGAUAUAUGGAGGAACACCGGUGGCGAAAGCGGCUCUCUGGUCUGUAACUGACGCUGAGGCUCGAAAGCGUGGGGAGCAAACAGG